This 638-nucleotide ribosomal RNA is filed under the name uncultured bacterium. RNAcentral's name for it is "bacterial SSU rRNA". It matches the Rfam family "Bacterial small subunit ribosomal RNA", at positions 79 to 710 of the family's 1533-position model. The record is from RNAcentral.
CUUGCUGUUUCGCUGAUGAGUGGCGGACGGGUGAGUAAUGUCUGGGAAACUGCCUGAUGGAGGGGGAUAACUACUGGAAACGGUAGCUAAUACCGCAUAACGUCGCAAGACCAAAGAGGGGGACCCUCGGGCCUCUUGCCAUCGGAUGUGCCCAGAUGGGAUUAGCUUGUUGGUGGGGUAACGGCUCACCAAGGCGACGAUCCCUAGCUGGUCUGAGAGGAUGACCAGCCACACUGGAACUGAGACACGGUCCAGACUCCUACGGGAGGCAGCAGUGGGGAAUAUUGCACAAUGGGCGCAAGCCUGAUGCAGCCAUGCCGCGUGUAUGAAGAAGGCCUUCGGGUUGUAAGGUACUUUCAGCGGGGAGGAAGGGAGUAAAGUUAAUACCUUUGCUCAUUGACGUUACCCGCAGAAGAAGCACCGGCUAACUCCGUGCCAGCAGCCGCGGUAAUACGGAGGGUGCAAGCGUUAAUCGGAAUUACUGGGCGUAAAGCGCACGCAGGCGGUUUGUUAAGUCAGAUGUGAAAUCCCCGGGCUCAACCUGGGAACUGCAUCUGAUACUGGCAAGCUUGAGUCUCGUAGAGGGGGGUAGAAUUCCAGGUGUAGCGGUGAAAUGCGUAGAGAUCUGGAGGAAUACC